GUUACCCCUACACUGGAGUGCCACUUAAGGGAAAGACUAAAAGAAGGAGAAGGAACUCGGCAAACAUAAGCCUCGCCUGUUUACCAAAAACAUCGCCUCCUGCAACUUUAGUAUAGGAGGCCCAGCCUGCCCAGUGACUACGGGUUCAA
RNAcentral lists this ribosomal RNA (149 nucleotides) under Erimystax dissimilis (streamline chub). RNAcentral describes it as "partial 16S ribosomal RNA". Lineage: Eukaryota; Metazoa; Chordata; Actinopteri; Cypriniformes; Leuciscidae. The record is from RNAcentral.